RNA transcript from Nicotiana attenuata, 3135 nucleotides. RefSeq lists it as uncharacterized. The record is from RefSeq and is a predicted model, not a curated record. Lineage: Eukaryota; Viridiplantae; Streptophyta; Magnoliopsida; Solanales; Solanaceae. The transcript has 14 exons.
GGGGGGGGGGGGGGGUAGGGGAUGGUGAAAUAUGGAAAAUGCAAGUCAAAUUUGGUGGGCUAUAGCUCAAGUGAGCCUUGACAAGCAUAGUCAGAGGACUAUGUUGAAGGCUUAUGGUAGGUACAUGUAAAAUAAAUGAAAAUUUGUCAAUAUCAAGUUAUGAUUCUUCGAAUCCAGUAAUGACGAUUUCUGCACAAGUUUAUCUCAGAUCAUUAAGGGGUGUAUGAUUAAAAAACUAAUUAUAUAGGAAUAUAACACAUGUAUUGUUAUAAAGUGAACAAUCAAAACAUGAAAUUUUAUGUAUGAGUUGCAAUACCAAACACAUGAAUUUUUUUAUGCAUGUAUUCACAUACAAAAAAUUAAGUGCAUUCUAAUCCUCGUACUUCAAAUACUUUCAAUUCACAUAAAUUGAAUAAACAUUUAAAAGUUGUGAUGGAUAAACUUUUAUCCUUAAUUCAAGCUGAGAAUAAAAAAUAUUAAUAGACGGAUCCAAAUUAAUUGAGACCAGAGAGCAGUACUGGAACUGAACGAAAACAUUAAAAAAAAGCAUAAAUUGGAAUAGAGAGAGUUCUCAUGUUGAAUGGCCAAAAUAAUAUGUAACCCAAAAUAAUAUGCAAGUUUCGACCCAUUCUACACAUAUAUUUAUUUUUCUUAAUUAAAUUCUUUUCGUCCCAAUUUAUGUGGCAGUGUUUUAUUUCGAGAGUCAAACAAGUAUUUUUUUACUAUUACAAAAUUUUUCUAAUAUGUAAAUCCUACUUGGAAAAAACUUUUAAAUUCUAUGUUCAAAUAUAUGAUCAAAGUUAAAAAGUUUGACUUUAAAACCAAAAAAAUGUCAUAUAAAUCGGGAUAGAUUUAGUAAUAAAAUAAUGCACAUAGGCAAUUGGUUCCUAUUUUCCCGAGGAUACGUUGUAAUCUAUCUCGGAUUCUAUAUUCUCCCGAAUAUCUCGUAACAUCAUUUUGUUCUUUUUCUUUGAUCAGAAGCAGUAAAACUGAUUUUCGAUUGGAAGAAAUAAUCGCUUAGAUCAGAAUUGAGCUAUGGACUCUGCUGAUUGGCGCACUCAACUUCUACCCGAUUCUCGUCAAAGGAUUAUCAACAACAUAACCGAGACCUUAAAGAGGCACCUUUCUGUCACUAGGGAAGAAGGAGUUCAGGAGCUCAAGAAAAUUGCAGUGGGGUUUGAGGAAAAGAUCUAUACUGCUGCCACAAGUCAACCAGAUUAUCUACGAAAAAUAUCUCUAAAGAUGCUGACUAUGGAGACAAAAUCUCAAAAUCCUAUGACCAAUUCGAGCAAUGCUGCAAGUAGUGGUCAGAAUGGCCAUGACCCAGGUACCGCCCCAGCUGGAGCUGCAGCCGGAGCUAUGGACGCCCCUGAUUGGCGGACUCAACUUCUACCUGAUUCUCGUCAAAGCAUUGUGAACAAGAUAACCGAGGCCUUAAAGAGGCAUCUUCCUGUCACUAGACAAGAAGGAGUUCAGGAGCUUAUGAAAAUUGCAGUGGGGUUUGAGGAAAAGAUCUAUACUGCUGCUACAAGUCAGCCAGAUUAUCUACGAAUGAUAUCUCUAAAGAUGCUGAAUCUUGAGACAAUAUCUCAAAAUCCUACAACCAAUUCGACCAAUGCUGCUAGUAGUGGUCAGAAUGCCGAUGACCCAGGUACCGCCCCAGCUGGAGCUGCAGCCGGAGCUAUGGACGCCGUUGACUGGCGGACUCAACUUCUACCUGAUUCUCGUCAAUGGAUUGUCAACAAGAUAACCGAGGCCUUAAAGAGGCAUCUUCCUGUCACUAGACAAGAAGGAGUUCAGGAGCUUAUGAAAAUUGCAGUGGGGUUUGAGGAAAAGAUCUAUACUGCUGCUACAAGUCAGCCAGAUUAUCUACGAAAAAUAUCUCUAAAGAUGCUGACUAUGGAGACAAACUCUCAAAAUCCUAUGACCAAUUCGGCCAAUGCUGCAAGUAGUGGUCAGAAUGCCCAUGACCCAGGUACCUCCCCAGCUGGAGCUGCAGCCGGAGCUAUGGACGCCGUUGAUUGCCGGACUCAACUUCUACCUGAUUCUCGUCAAAGGAUUGUCAACAAGAUAACCGAGACCUUAAAGAGGCAUCUUCCUGUCAGUGGAGAAGGAGGAGUUCAGGAGCUCAAGAAAAUUGCAGUGAGGUUUGAGGAAAAGAUCUAUACUGCUGCUAUAAGUCAGCCAGAUUAUCUACGAAAAAUAUCUCUAAAGAUGCUUGACUAUGGAGAACAUCCUAUGACCAAUUCGACCAAUGCUGCAAGUAGUGGUCAGAAUGCCCUUGGCCCAGGAAAGGGAAAUUACUCGAGGAAGCACGAAGAGAAAGAGAGAAGACUCGGGAGAUAAUGUUGAAGAGCAUAAUGAUCAAAUACUACCAACAUUUACAUGUGAAAUAUGCACUGAAGUUGUUCCAAUAACCAAGAAAUUCAACAAUUUUCAUAGUUGCAAUCAUUCUUUUUGCUCAAAAUGCAUAGAGAGGCACGUCGAAGUGAAAAUCCAACUAAGGAUUGCUGAUAUACAGUGCCCGUAUGUAGAUUGUGGGAAACUUUUGGACCCUCUAGUAUGUAGAACGAUGAUUCCCUUAUCGAUUUUCGAGAAGUGGUGUGACCUUCUCUGCAAGCAGGCUCAUUUAGGAUUCGAGAAAUGUUACUGUCCUUAUCAAGAUUGUGGAGAACUCAUUGUUAAAGAGUGUGGGGAUGUUGUUGGAAAAUCGGAGUGUCCUAAGUGCAGAAGAUUGAUUUGCUUUCAGUGUGGGCUUCCAUGGAAUGUCUGUGAAGAAAAUGGAUGUUCAAAGGUGAAUGAUACUUUGUUCAAAGAACUUGUGGAGCAAAAGCAAUGGACUAAAUGUCCUAGCUGUAAUAUGUAUGUCGAACGAAUUGCAGGCUGCAAUCAUAUGCAAUGCAGAUGCAAUUUCAGUUUCUGCUACAAAUGCGGGAAAAACCCUACUGCUCAGAGGCGCUGGUGCAGGUGCAAAUAAGAUUGAAGAUCCUCAUUUUGCACAUGUUAGGUUCACCUUUUUUCAUGAUAAAAGGUUGUAUAUUUAAUAAAAUAACUAUAAAUGGUUUGAUUUAUAUACACUGACGUUGUUAAAAAUAAUUGCACUAUCAAUAUGUUGCCUGCUACUUAUCUGCUUUA